This 1201-nucleotide long non-coding RNA is filed under the name Mustela putorius furo (domestic ferret). Its description in RNAcentral is "lncRNA (ENSMPUG00000028919.1)". The record is from RNAcentral. Lineage: Eukaryota; Metazoa; Chordata; Mammalia; Carnivora; Mustelidae.
CAGGAAAGCCAGUCCGCAUUCUAUAUCAUCCCUGGGGCUUCUCUUGAGCCACGUUUACGGCCACUCCAGGAUAACAGAGUAUCUCAGGCUGUAACUCAUUUUCCGACCUUUCUUUCCUUUCCGUGGGCUCCGUAUGGAGGUGGACAAAUGGGAACAUGGGAAGGUUGAACUGAAGCUCAGAAACUCUCUCAAAAGCGGGGUGCAAGGAAGCGGGGCCACAGAGACCAGGCAUCUUGCCCUGUGCCUUGGAGUUUAGGGCCACUGUGCGGUUGCUGGGCUUUGGGGUCAGUGUACCUAUAAGACGAGAGCCUCAGAAAAGGAGUGAAAAAAAAAUCUGCAAAAACAAAUUGUCCCCAUCAUACCUUUGGCUGAGCCCUACACGGUGCCUGGUAGGCGGAGACCCAGGGUCAGCUGGAGGCUGCAGGGUAGGGAAGGGUUUCAGAGUCGUGCAGGAGCGGCCAGAGGAGGCCUGCGGAGUCAGCACCUGAGCCCUGCGCUAAGGCUCCGGAAGGACCACACCCUCGUAGUGAGGACAGGUACUGGGAGAAAGGGCUGCACCCUCGCCACGGGGGUAGGACUGCAAAGACUUGCUCCAACCAAGCCUGAAACCAUCACUCACGUCUCAACAUGACCAAGGCAAUGCUUCGGGGAUUUCACUGUGGGCAAGAACAGAACCUCCUCGUCUCCAGAGGAAUCCGACAACCCAGGGCCUGUCCUCUGCUGUGUACGGUUGAGAGCGUCCCCUCCUUCCUCCACAGCUCUGAGCUGGACAGACUGAAGUCCGAGAGGACCUGUCCCCCUCGCCCUGUUCUUCUGCCUCUCCUCACCCAUCUCGCAAGCUGGUCUCUGCUCUCCAGAGCUGGAGCAGAGCAGGCUGCAGGGCAGAAUGGAUGGGAAAUUUCCCCCUGGGUGACCCACUGUGCUCGACAGGGUUGGAUGGUUACUCUUUCUCUUUCAUAGCAUUUAAAAGUGUUCUUCAAAAAUCCCAUUCCCAUCUCUGGCUUGAUGCAUUUUUUCCUGGUUGGUUGCUUAAGCUCCUUCCUUUACCCCUGAGAAUCUCAUGGUCUGGUCCCCUGUUGGACUAACCUUGACCAGGACCUAAGAAGAUCCUAAACUGACUCUCUCUUUCCCUCCUGCCACUGGAAACCCUUGCCUGUUUUGGGGGGUUCCAGAAUACUCUGGGAGGGCAGUCAGAUCCCAA